Molecule: long non-coding RNA, 475 nt
Organism: Pezoporus occidentalis (night parrot)
Lineage: Eukaryota; Metazoa; Chordata; Aves; Psittaciformes; Psittacidae
Exons: 2
Source: RefSeq, a predicted model, not a curated record
UUUCUUUGCUCCCUCAUGCUUCCCCUUUCUUUUCUCCCCACCUCCCCUGCCAUGGACCAGCUCAGCUUGAUCCUGCUCUUUGGAAAACGAAGGACUGCAUCACAGAUGGUUUUGUUCCAACAAAGAACAGGAUCUUGGUGACAGCCCUGGAGAGCAGGCUGUACCCUUCCCUGGAACAAGCAGCAGUGCAUCACGUCAUGCUCGGACCACACCGCCUCACUCCCUCGCCUCUCUCCGUGUCAGGCUUUUCAAGUUUCUACAAGAAAAAAGCUUCAUUCUACAAGGCCAGCAUCCAGUUCAUAUUUGCUAUAUCACAGGGACAACGAUAAGGUGGAAAAUUCCUCUGGAUUUCUAGAGAUGGAAAACUACUGACUGCUGGGUGCUGGUAGGAGAAGGGUAACAAGCAUCUGGGCAUGGAGACGGAGACUCCUCUUGACAGCUCUGUUCCUCAGGUAGAACAGGCCUUUCUAUCAAA